GACAGCAGUAGCCGCGGUAAUACGUAGGGUGCGAGCGUUAUCCGGAAUAACUGGGCGUAAAGGGUGCGCAGGUGGUUUAGUAAGUCUGAAGUUAAAGGCAUUGGCUCAACCAAUGUAUGCUUUGGAAACUGUUAGACUUGAGUGCAGAAGGGGAGAGUGGAAUUCCAUGUGUAGCGGUGAAAUGCGUAGAUAUAUGGAGGAACACCGGUGGCGAAAGCGGCUCUCUGGUCUGUCACUGACGCUGAGGCUCGAAAGCGUGGGUAGCGAACAGGAUUAGAUACCCGCGUAGUCCCUGUCUCUUAUACC
RNAcentral lists this ribosomal RNA (306 nucleotides) under uncultured bacterium. RNAcentral's name for it is "partial 16S ribosomal RNA". It matches the Rfam family "Bacterial small subunit ribosomal RNA", at positions 507 to 808 of the family's 1533-position model. The record is from RNAcentral.